This 511-nucleotide ribosomal RNA is filed under the name Pseudomonas sp. SRI2. RNAcentral's name for it is "bacterial SSU rRNA". It matches the Rfam family "Bacterial small subunit ribosomal RNA", at positions 34 to 540 of the family's 1533-position model. Lineage: Bacteria; Pseudomonadati; Pseudomonadota; Gammaproteobacteria; Pseudomonadales; Pseudomonadaceae. The record is from RNAcentral.
CGCUGGCGGCAGGCCUAAACAUGCAAGUCGAGCGGAUGAGAGGAACUUGUGCCUGGAUUCAACGACGGACGGAUGAGUAAUGCCUAGGAAUCAGCCUGGCAGUGGGGGACAAAGUUUCCAAAGGAACGCUAAUACCGCAUACGUCCUACGGAAGAAAGCAGGGGACCUUCGUGCCUUGCGCUAUCUUAUGAGCCUAUGUCGCAUUAUAUAUUUGUGGAGGUAAUGGCUCACCCCGGCGACGAUACGUAGCUGGGCUGAGAGGAUGAUAACUCACACUGGAACUGAGACACGGUCCAGACUCCUACUGGGAGGCAGCAGUGGGGAAUAUUGUACACUGGGCGAACGCCUGAGCCAGCCAUGCGGCGUGUGUGAGGAAAGUCUUCUGAUUGUGUAGCACUUUUUGUUGGGAGGAAAGGACGCAACGUAUUACAUUGCUGUUUUAACAUUACCGAUGGAGAAUACACCGGCUAUAUCUGUGCGCGCAGCCGCGCUAAUACACAGAGUGCGCGCG